This 443-nucleotide ribosomal RNA is filed under the name uncultured bacterium. RNAcentral describes it as "partial 16S ribosomal RNA". It matches the Rfam family "Bacterial small subunit ribosomal RNA", at positions 338 to 795 of the family's 1533-position model. The record is from RNAcentral.
CCUACGGGAGGCAGCAGUGGGGAAUAUUGGUCAAUGGAGGAAACUCUGACCCAGCAACGCCGCGUGAAUGAUGAAGGCCCUCUGAGUUGUAAGUUCUUUUUGAAGGGGAGCAAAAAGCGACGGUACCUUAGUAUUACGCCUCGCCUAACUACGUCCCAGCAGCCGCGGUAUUACGUAGGAGGCGAGCGUUAUCCGGAUUGAUUGGGCGUAAAGGGUGCGUAGGUGGUUUGAUAAGUUGGUAGCGAAAUGCCGGGGCUCAACCCCGGCACUGCCACUAAUACUGACGGACUUGAGUUCAGGUGCGGUAGGUGGAAUUCCUGGUGUAGCGGUGGAAUGCGUAGAGAUUAGGAGGAACACCGGUGGCGAAGGCGGCUUACUAGACUGUAACUGACGUUGAGGCACGAAAGCGUGGGGAGCAAACAGGAUUAGAGACCCGUGUAGUC